RNAcentral lists this ribosomal RNA (270 nucleotides) under uncultured archaeon. Its description in RNAcentral is "partial 16S ribosomal RNA". It matches the Rfam family "Archaeal small subunit ribosomal RNA", at positions 477 to 747 of the family's 1478-position model. The record is from RNAcentral.
CAGCGGCCCUAGUGGUGAUCGUUAUUAUUGGGCCUAAAGCGUCCGUAGCCGGUUCGGUAAAUCUCUGGGUAAAUCGUUGGGCUUAACUCAACGAAUUCUGGGGAGACUGCCGAACUUGGGACCGGGAGAGGUCGGAGGUACUCCAGGGGUAGGGGUGAAAUCCUGUAAUCCUUGGGGGACCACCGGUGGCGAAGGCGUCCGACCAGAACGGGUCCGACGUUAAGGGACGAAGCCCUGGGGCGCGAACCGGAUUAGAUACCCGAGUAGUCC